GUUGAAAAGUUAAACAACCUUAUGAUAUAUCAUCUCUGCAACAUAAACAAGUUCAUUGAGUCUCUGGGAAGUGAAAUGACUUCCCUCAGUAAAAUAGGACAGUAGAAAUUGAAUUGAGGAAGAAAAUCUAUUUUAUGAAAAAAUCCUUGAUCUCCCACUGGGAGUCCCAGAGAAAGAAGCACGAGAUUGCGAUGGCCUGGAGUACCUUGUUUAUGGCAGUAUCCAACGAGCGAGAUUUUGCAUGUCUACAUAUGGUGCAAGUCUUGUUUUAAUUCAACCCUUGGGACAUCAAUCCAAUAAUGCUGCCAAAAUACACUCUGUGAAGGGUUGGAAAUGGCAGAUGACAAGGUCCUGGGAAAAGGCAGAACCUGAGUCAUUGAAUCACCAUGUGAAAGACAGCCUUUCAGCCAGAAAUGUCUAUUUUGUAUCUUUGUGUGAAUAAGAAAUAAACUGCUGCAUUUAUGUCGUUAA
Molecule: long non-coding RNA, 471 nt
Organism: Suricata suricatta (meerkat)
Lineage: Eukaryota; Metazoa; Chordata; Mammalia; Carnivora; Herpestidae
Exons: 3
Source: RefSeq, a predicted model, not a curated record